CCUUGAAGAUCGGAGUGCUUGCACUCUGUGAAACAAGAUACAGGCUAGCGGCGGACGGGUGAGUAACACGUGGGUAACCUGCCCAAGAGAUCGGGAUAACACCUGGAAACAGAUGCUAAUACCGGAUAACAACAGAUGAUGCCUAUCAACUGUUUAAAAGAUGGUUCUGCUAUCACUCUUGGAUGGACCUGCGGUGCAUUAGCUAGUUGGUAGGGUAACGGCCUACCAAGGCGAUGAUGCAUAGCCGAGUUGAGAGACUGAUCGGCCACAUUGGGACUGAGACACGGCCCAAACUCCUACGGGAGGCAGCAGUAGGGAAUCUUCCACAAUGGACGCAAGUCUGAUGGAGCAACGCCGCGUGAGUGAAGAAGGGUUUCGGCUCGUAAAGCUCUGUUGUUGGUGAAGAAGGACAGGGGUAGUAACUGACCUUUGUUUGACGGUAAUCAAUUAGAAAGUCACGGCUAACUACGUGCCAGCAGCCGCGGUAAUACGUAGGUGGCAAGCGUUGUCCGGAUUUAUUGGGCGUAAAGCGAGUGCAGGCGGCUCGAUAAGUCUGAUGUGAAAGCCUUCGGCUCAACCGGAGAAUUGCAUCAGAAACUGUCGAGCUUGAGUACAGAAGAGGNNNNUGGAACUCCAUGUGUAGCGGUGAAAUGCGUAGAUAUAUGGAAGAACACCGGUGGCGAANGCGGCUCUCUGGUCUGUUACUGA
This 708-nucleotide ribosomal RNA is filed under the name uncultured bacterium. RNAcentral describes it as "bacterial SSU rRNA". It matches the Rfam family "Bacterial small subunit ribosomal RNA", at positions 62 to 743 of the family's 1533-position model. The record is from RNAcentral.